RNAcentral lists this small RNA (125 nucleotides) under Marmota monax (woodchuck). Lineage: Eukaryota; Metazoa; Chordata; Mammalia; Rodentia; Sciuridae. The record is from RNAcentral.
GCUGGGUGUGGUGGCACACACCUGCAAUCCCAGCAGCUCAGGAGGCUGAGGCAGGAGGAUCAUGAGUUCAAAGCCAGUCUUAGCAAAAGUGAGGCCCUAAGCAACUCAGUGAGACCCUGUCUCUA